This 497-nucleotide ribosomal RNA is filed under the name uncultured bacterium. RNAcentral describes it as "partial 16S ribosomal RNA". It matches the Rfam family "Bacterial small subunit ribosomal RNA", at positions 28 to 507 of the family's 1533-position model. The record is from RNAcentral.
GAUGAACGCUGGCGGCGUGCCUAAUACAUGCAAGUCGAGCGAACGGACGAGAAGCUUGCUUCUCUGAUGUUAGCGGCGGACGGGUGAGUAACACGUGGAUAACCUACCUAUAAGACUGGGAUAACUUCGGGAAACCGGAGCUAAUACCGGAUAAUAUUUUGAACCGCAUGGUUCAAAAGUGAAAGACGGUCUUGCUGUCACUUAUAGAUGGAUCCGCGCUGCAUUAGCUAGUUGGUAAGGUAACGGCUUACCAAGGCAACGAUGCAUAGCCGACCUGAGAGGGUGAUUGGCCAGACUGGAAGUGAGAAACGGUCCAGACUCCUACGGGAGGCAGCAGUAGGGAAUCUUCCGCAAUGGGCGAAAGCCUGACGGAGCAACGCCGCGUGAGUGAUGAAGGUCUUCGGAUCGUAAAACUCUGUUAUUAGGGAAGAACAUAUGUGUAAGUAACUGUGCACAUCUUGACGGUACCUAAUCAGAAAGCCACGGCUAACUACGUG